GAUGAAGAACGUAGCGAAAUGCGAUAAGUAAUGUGAAUUGCAGAAUUCAGUGAAUCAUCGAAUCUUUGAACGCACAUUGCGCCCCCUGGUAUUCCGGGGGGCAUGCCUGUCCGAGCGUCGUUACAACCCUCAAGCUCAGCUUGGUAUUGGGCCCCGCCGCUCCGGCGGGCCCUAAAGUCAGUGGCGGUGCCGUCCGGCUCCGAGCGUAGUAAUUCUUCUCGCUCUGGAGGUCCGGUCGUGUGCUCGCCAGCAACCCCCAAUUUUUUUCAGGUUGACCUCGGAUCAGGUAGGGAUACCCGCUGAACUUAAGCAUAUCAAUAAGCGGAGGA
Molecule: unclassified non-coding RNA, 329 nt
Filed under: soil metagenome
Description: partial contains 5.8S ribosomal RNA, internal transcribed spacer 2, and large subunit ribosomal RNA
Rfam family: 5.8S ribosomal RNA (bases 1-120)
Source: RNAcentral